UACAUAGGGUGCGAGCGUUAUUCGGAUUUAUUGGGCGUAAAGAGCUCGUAGGCGGUUCAACAAGUCGGGUGUUAAACCCCCAGGCUCAACCUGGGGUCGCCACCCGAAACUGUUGUGACUAGAGUUUGGUAGGGGAUCACGGAAUUCCUGGUGUAGCGGUGGAAUGCGCAGAUAUCAGGAGGAACACCAGUAGCGAAGGCGGUGAUCUGGGCCAAUACUGACGCUGAGGAGCGAAAGCGUGGGGAGCGAACAGGAUUAGAUACCCUGGUAGUCCACGCCGUAAACGGUGGGCACUAGGUGUGGGGACUUUUCAACGGUUUCCGCGCCGCAGCUAACGCAUUAAGUGCCCCGCCUGGGGAGUACGGUCGCAAGACUAAAACU
This 381-nucleotide ribosomal RNA is filed under the name uncultured bacterium. Its description in RNAcentral is "bacterial SSU rRNA". It matches the Rfam family "Bacterial small subunit ribosomal RNA", at positions 524 to 901 of the family's 1533-position model. The record is from RNAcentral.